Molecule: ribosomal RNA, 747 nt
Filed under: cyanobacterium enrichment culture clone 4_16_4.2.9_F09-T7
Lineage: Bacteria; Bacillati; Cyanobacteriota
Description: bacterial SSU rRNA
Rfam family: Bacterial small subunit ribosomal RNA
Source: RNAcentral
CGAACGGGACUCUUCGGAGUUUAGUGGCGGACGGGUGAGUAACGCGUGAGAAUCUGCCCUUAGGUUGGGGACAACAGUUGGAAACGACUGCUAAUACCCAAUGUGCCGAGAGGUGAAAGGUUAACUGCCUGGGGAUGAGCUCGCGUCUGAUUAGCUAGUUGGAGUGGUAACGGCACACCAAGGCGACGAUCAGUAGCUGGUCUGAGAGGAUGAUCAGCCACACUGGGACUGAGACACGGCCCAGACUCCUACGGGAGGCAGCAGUGGGGAAUUUUCCGCAAUGGGCGAAAGCCUGACGGAGCAAGACCGCGUGAGGGAGGAAGGCCUAUUGGUUGUAAACCUCUUUUGAUAGGGAAGAACACAAUGACGGUACCUAUCGAAUCAGCAUCGGCUAACUCCGUGCCAGCAGCCGCGGUAAUACGGAGGAUGCAAGCGUUAUCCGGAUUUAUUGGGCGUAAAGCGUCCGUAGGUGGCAAACCAAGUCAGUUGUUAAAGCGUAGAGCUUAACUCUAUAAGGGCAAUUGAAACUGGUUAGCUAGAGUGCGAUAGGGGCAAGGGGAAUUCCCAGUGUAGCGGUGAAAUACGUAGAUAUUGGGAAGAACAUCGGUGGCGAAGGCGCCUUGCUGGGUCUGCACUGACACUGAGGGACGAAAGCUAGGGGAGCGAAAGGGAUUAGGUACCCCUGUAGUCCUAGCCGUAAACGAUGGAUACUAGGCGUUGUCCGUAUCGACCCGAGCCGUGCCGAAG